Molecule: transfer-messenger RNA, 418 nt
Filed under: Chlamydiia bacterium
Lineage: Bacteria; Pseudomonadati; Chlamydiota; Chlamydiia
Rfam family: transfer-messenger RNA
About the family: Bacterial tmRNA, also known as 10Sa RNA or SsrA, is named for its dual tRNA and mRNA-like properties. Its role is to liberate the mRNA from a stalled ribosome. To accomplish this part of the tmRNA is used as a reading frame that ends in a translation stop signal.
Source: RNAcentral
GGGGGUGCACCGGUUUCGACUUGGAAACAAAGUACCGAUGGCAUGCAGAGGAUUCGGUUGGCCUCUUUAAAAAGCCGAAACGACAUAACUGUCAAAAAAUCAAAAGUUACUAGCAUUGAGUCUCACCCUGCAUUUGCAGCUGAGCACGAAGAUGCUAGAGCUGUUGCUUAAGACCUAACCCGUCUAUUAGCAAUCGACCCUCUGAGAUUGGACCAGGGAUCUUAGAAAGGUCGUCAGAGAUCUUGGUAUGAAAAAGAGUCGCUUGACUUCCAGCGGCACUCUUUCGAGAUUAAAGGAAGUGUAUAAGUCCUAAGUGGGGUUCCUUACAGCAAGACUUACACUAAAAUUAAGGAACUAAGCAUGUAGGCAUUGUUAUGGAGUUUGCUAAGGACGAGAGUUCGAUUCUCUCCACCUCCAA